Molecule: long non-coding RNA, 594 nt
Filed under: Pan troglodytes (chimpanzee)
Lineage: Eukaryota; Metazoa; Chordata; Mammalia; Primates; Hominidae
Description: lincRNA
Source: RNAcentral
AAUCCCGCGCGGCUCAGAGAUGGGUUUCUGGACUCGCGAAGCAGCUGCAACAAGGCAUCACUCACUGUAUAAGUACUUCCAUUUCUGAGAGCAAAAGGAAGAACUUAAGCGGGCGGCACUUGGAGUGUAAAUUGCUUUGUAGUAUUUAAAGGCAGAAUGGAUCCUGGGCAGCCGAGCUGAUCAUGAGGCUCCUGAGGCCUCCUAGCCAUGUUUCCUGUGCAGCCUAUGGAACUAAUCACUGUUGUAUUUUUAAACCUUAUUCCUGGAAGCACUACGGAUAUCAGAUCAAUUUAGAAAGCCAAAGACUACCUCUGGGAAUGAAAUGGCAGUAAUAGAAACAAUAUUUGGCCAAACUAUCGCUGUAUGCCAAUGAUGCCAAAAAUCACAGUAACCUGGCAGCAACAAACUGGCAGGACUUCCUGUGAAAUCAUGACCACCAUGUGCUCUUUCAGCCUCCAUCAAUUCCUACCUCUAAGCACCUGAGAGCCAAAGCAAACCACAGGAAACCACAGACUCAAACUAAACAUCAGCUUUUCCCGGCUCUCAAGCCUGCUGGUCCCUGAACUAAAACUCACAUUAUCAACUCUACUGGUU